UGCACUGGGCCGAUUUCCGAGUUC
RNAcentral lists this non-coding RNA (24 nucleotides) under Cricetulus griseus (Chinese hamster). Lineage: Eukaryota; Metazoa; Chordata; Mammalia; Rodentia; Cricetidae. The record is from RNAcentral.